UCCGUGAGGUGUUGCCUUAAGUGGCGCAACGAGCGCAACCCUUGUCCUUAGUUGCCAGCGGGUAAAGCCGGGAACUCUAGGGAGACUGCCGGUGCCAAACCGGAGGAAGGUGGGGAUGACGUCAAGUCAUCAUGCCCCUUAUGUCCAGGGCUGCACGCAUGCUACAAUGCGCGGUACAAAGGGCUGCGAUCCCGCAAGGGGGAGCGAAUCCCAAAAAGCCGCGCUCAGUUCGGAUCGGGGUCUGCAACCCGACCCCGUGAAGUCGGAGUCGCUAGUAAUCGCAGAUCAGCAAUGCUGCGGUGAAUACGUUCCCGGGCCUUGUACACACCGCCCGUCACACCACGAAAGUGGGCAACACCCGAAGCCGGUGGCCCAACCCUUUGGGGAGGGAGCCGUCGAAGGUGGGGCUCGCGAUUGGGGUGAAGUCGUAACAAGGUAGCCGUACCGGAAGGUGCGGCUGGAUCACCUCCUUUCUAAGGAGCCACUUGGCACUCCGGUCUGGUCGGACGCACGUGCCGACGACCGGAAACUCCAGGUCGGUGCACUGGCUACUCGGCAGGCGAGCUCGCUCGAGCCGUUCGCAAGUACGUCGCCCCCAGGAACCUUGAAGGAACGCUGGAGGCGAAGUGGAACGCGAUCGGGGAGGGCGAGGGAGUCCGCCGGGCACACUGUUCAGCUCUGGGGGUGCGAGCCUCCGAGCACCUUGAGAACUCGAUAGCGAGCGCGAGCAUCUACAGUCAAGUUACUAAGGGCUUACGGUGGAUGCCUUGGCGCCAGGAGCCGAUGAAGGACGCGUCUGGCUGCGAAAAGCUUCGGGGAGCCGCCGAGAAGGCUUUGAUCCGAAGGUGU
Molecule: small RNA, 849 nt
Filed under: uncultured Actinomycetales bacterium
Lineage: Bacteria; Bacillati; Actinomycetota; Actinomycetes; Actinomycetales
Description: bacterial SSU rRNA
Rfam family: Bacterial small subunit ribosomal RNA (bases 1-473)
Source: RNAcentral